Molecule: long non-coding RNA, 372 nt
Filed under: Pan troglodytes (chimpanzee)
Lineage: Eukaryota; Metazoa; Chordata; Mammalia; Primates; Hominidae
Description: long non-coding RNA NONPTRT003039
Source: RNAcentral
CAUGCCCAGGGACACGCAGUGGCAUGGCUGCUCUGGGAAACAGUUUGAUGCUUUCUCUGAAAGUCCAACAGGGAUGUACCACACAGCUCAGCAAUUCCACCCCUGGCAUUUACAUAGAGAAAUGAAAACUUACGGUCCCACAGAAACGCGGGUUUGUAGCAGCUCUAUUCGUAAUCAUCAACAACUGGAAACAACCCACAUGGCCUUCAGUGACCGAAUGGAUAAACAAGCUGUUACACGUACCCCAGGGAAUACUGCUCUCCAAUAAAAAGGAGUGGACUCUUGAUACACACAGUGACUUGGAGGAAUCUCAAAGGCAUUCUGCUCAAUGACAGGAGCCAGCCUCAAAAGAUUUGGCUGACUGAGGACGCG